AGCCCCUGUUCCCCCCCAUGGACCCCAAUGGAUGCCCCUACUCCCCCCCAUGGACCCCAAUGGAUGCCCCUGCACCCCCCCAUGGACCCCAAUGGAUGCUCCUACACCCCCCCCCAUGGACCCCAAUGGACCCCUCCGCCCCCCCCCCCCAGGUGCUGUUGCUCUUGGCUGUGCCCCCCCCCGGCGGCUGCUGCUCCUUCGAGUUCAACCCCGUGAGCAGCACGAUCCGGGCCCACGUGGAGGCCGUGACCCCAUGGUUGCUCCUGGAUUACACCGUGGAGAUGCCGGAGAACCUGGAGCCGCUCUCCCCAUGCUCCCAGCUCUGGACGCUCCGGUUCGGGCUCGCCGCUCUCCGCUCCUUGGCCUCCCGCGCGGGGGGGGCGCUGUCCCCGCGGCUCCAGGCGCUGGCCGCGCAGCUGCACUUCCUGAGCAGCUGUCCAAUCAGCGACCCCCAGGGCUGCGCUCGCCUGCGCCCCAUGAACCUCUCCCAGCUCCUGGGGGGGCUGGAACUGCAGCUGGGGGGGCUGCGGGAGCGCCCCCCCCCACCCCACACCUGCACCCACCUGCGCUGCACCAAGGGUACUGGCCCCAUAGCGACCCCCAUAGGAACCCCAAUGGGGACCCCCUAUAGAGACCCCCCAUGGGACCCCCAUUGAUCCCCCCCAUUUCCCCCCCCCGCAGACCCCCCCGUGUCGCCCCCCCCCCGCGGCGCCCCACGGGGUCCCCCCCUCCGCCCCCCACGGGCUCAUCCUAUGGGGGGCGCUGGGGGGGGCCCUGGUGCUGAGCGCGGCUGUGUGGGGCCUGAGCAUGAGGAGAAGGAGGGGGGGCACCGAGUGCAGGUGGGGCAAUGGGAGCAAUGGGGCAAUGGUGGGGUAAUGGGGGGCAAUGGGAGGGGUAAUGUGGGGCCAUGGG
This 912-nucleotide long non-coding RNA is filed under the name Melopsittacus undulatus (budgerigar). Its description in RNAcentral is "lncRNA (ENSMUNG00000020157.1)". Lineage: Eukaryota; Metazoa; Chordata; Aves; Psittaciformes; Psittaculidae. The record is from RNAcentral.